This is a long non-coding RNA of Hyla sarda, 1166 nucleotides long. RefSeq lists it as uncharacterized. The transcript has 3 exons. The record is from RefSeq and is a predicted model, not a curated record. Lineage: Eukaryota; Metazoa; Chordata; Amphibia; Anura; Hylidae.
UUCUACCGCACGACAUCGCCGCCAGCGCCGAUCACCGCAGCCGAUCCCGUCCCGCAGCCUCCACCGACGGUUUCAUCUAAGUGAUUCCUAGUGACAGAGAAUAGAAUGUGGACAAUGGAUGAUAUAGGUUACGAGGUGCCAUGAACCCUUUAAAACCAUCAAGAUUGUGGAAUUUGCAGGAUAUUCUGUAUGGGGUCCUGGGCACUCCGGCCCCCACCUUCCUGGACGAGAGCAAGUGACGGCCUGCUUAGCCAAUCACAGACCACCGCUAUUUCUCACCUCAGCCAGUGAUUGGAAUUUGUCAUUAGAAAAUUACCCAUUAAACUUUAGUUUUUAUGGUAAAUGUAUUUAAGAUUGUGUGUGUUUUUACUCUAUAUUACAAAAUACCACACAACGUGUCCACAAAAUAUUCCAAUUCUACUGAAUACAGUCUGUUUAAUUGUCCAUGGGGAUUAAGGUGAAUAAUCUAGCUAAAUAAACUUAAAAAAUGCUUCCUUCACAAUGUACAUAAAAUUAAACAGAUCAUUUGAAAUCAGAUAGAAACAUUUUUAAAAAAAGCAUAUAAAAAUCUAGUCAAUACAUUCACUUUUAUGUUGGUGUGGCUAAAGUCACCACGUAUAGUCAGCUGUGAAGGAAAAUAUUAAUGUGCCCGCACUGUCAGUCUGCAGGAUUUCUUUUUAUGUUUCUCAACAAAUCUCAUCCAUAUGCUCCAAAUUUUUUCAGUACAAAUAUUGGCCUGUGGUGCAGAUUUUUAAAGCCAUCGCAUGUCAGUUUCUGUUGCAGGUUUUAAAAGUGACAACAUGUAGAACCCAGAGUCUCAUUUUCACAUUUAACACACAUUUUGCUGUGGAUGUGCAGUGGAGAAAUCUGCCACAUGUGGACUAGUAAACUGUCAAUUGGCAUAGGAGGGCAUGUAAACCCCACAGCUCACGAAUAUUGUGCACUCCAAGUUGACAGUUAGGCCAGAACACAAUUGUUCCACAAGAAAACACACACAUGGCUGCAAGUCAGUGUGUCAGACAUGACUGCAUUCUACAUUCUAAAUUUUUGAGUUUUCCCUUUUUAAUAUCCAUUGGGGAUAUUUUUUUAUUGUUACAUUGGUAAGAGAGUUCAGGAUUAGAGAUGAGCGAACUUACAGUAAAUUCGAUUCAUCACGAACUUCUCGG